CAGCAGUCGCCGCGGUAAUACGCAGGGCGCAAGCGUUGUCCGGAAUUAUUGGGCGUAAAGAGCUCGUAGGCGGCUCGUCACGUCUGCUGUGAAAUCCCGGGGCUCAACCCCGGGCGUGCAGUGGAUACGGGCUGGCUAGAGGCAGGCAGGGGAGAACGGAAUUCCCGGUGUAGCGGUGAAAUGCGCAGAUAUCGGGAGGAACACCGGUGGCGAGGGCGGUUCUCUGGGCCUGUUCUGACGCUGAGGAGCGAAAGCGUGGGGAGCGAACAGGAUUAGAUACCCGUGUAGUCCCUGUCUCUUAUAC
Molecule: ribosomal RNA, 304 nt
Filed under: uncultured bacterium
Lineage: Bacteria
Description: partial 16S ribosomal RNA
Rfam family: Bacterial small subunit ribosomal RNA
Source: RNAcentral